UGGAAAUAUUAGCACGAAGGGCCUUGCAUCACCAAUUUCCUUCUCUGGGAACGUAGGGGAAUACCAUUACCUGAUUGGUUUACAAGCAGUUCGCUUUGCUCGUGCUGACAAGAGCGUGCACACCAACGGAGAACAUUCAGCUGAAAGCCCCCCUGGACUUUGCGAUUUAACUGACUGAAUUUGGAUGUGUGGAUGAUUUUGAGGUGAGGAGACUGACAAGGCUGAAGGUAAAGUGGUCCACCGUUAUAUCAAUAAUGCUCAACUAGAAGUUAACACUAAUACAAACAUCAUUUUUGCAGAAUGAGUGUGUUAGGGGAGAAGGACGCAGCCAUAGUUAAACAGCUGGAUGCUGGCUUGAAAUGCAGCUGGAACUGGUCGUGGCUAAAACUUGAAGGCAAGGUCUCAGUGAAAGGGCAAGAGGUGUCCUUUCAUCUAGGAGAUGUAUUCAACAAAAUCAACAGGCAGGGAUUCGCCAGAUGCAUUCUCUGCCACAAAGAUAUCAAUUAUGCUAACAAAGGCAGCCAUGCUCUGCAGGCUCACUGCCAGACGGAAGUUCACAAGAAGAGGGUGCAGAUGAUAGUUUCCACUCAUAGUGUUGCCAGCACCUUCCUUCCAGCAUCAGCUAGCCAGAGUCCAGCAAACCAGAAUCAAGCAAGCCAGGGGCCAGAAACAACCAGGCAGCAGUGCCAGGGAAAGAUCCCCGUACCAGUUAUAAACCGCAUAGCAAAUGCAGAGGCAAUGGUCCUUGGAACCUUGGCGGAGCAUUCAAUGCCGUUUUCUAAGGCUCCUGUAAUUGUUGAGCUUUCCCAGACCCUUUCCUUAGAUAAACCAGCGUUGCAGGGAAUCAAGCUGUCGCGGACGGCAGUUUCAUACGAGAUGAUCCAUGGUCUAGGGCAGACUUACUCUGAGAGGACCUUUUCCAACAUGAAGAGAUUUCCCUUUUCGUUAUAUUUAGACGAGAGUACCUCCAACAACAACAAAAAGGUCCUCUCCAUGCUCGUUUGCUACUAUCAUGCAGACUUGAGGAAGAUGAUAGUGGAGCAUUUUGGGUCCUUGGAGAUAGUGAAGGUAAAUGCUGCUUCUUUAGAGAAGAUGCUCUGUGAGUUCUUUGAGAAAAACAACAUCCCCUGGAAUAACCUUGUGAGUAUGCUGAUGGACUCGUGUGCUGUGAUGAGGGGCAGCAAGACCGUCCUCGAGACCAGGAUGCACCAAUACUGUCCCAACCUGCUCGAUGUUGAUGGGGACUCCUGUCAUCACAUACACAAUGCGGCAAAGAAGUUCUCAGUCCUUUGACAGCUACUUGGAGAAACUGUUCAGUGAUCUCCAGGUUGACCAUCAGUGGAGUCCAGACCAGGUGAAGUACCUCAAGGAGAUAGCUAUGAUUCUAAAUCUCCCCGCCUCCAGCUCACAGAGGGGCUUUGUUCCUCAUCGCUGGCUGUCUGCAAAUGCCAUGCCAUGAUGCCUGCGUUCAAAGCCCCCUAUGAUGGCUACCUCUCCACUGCAGAUAAGGAGCUGUAUAGGGAUCCUUUGGAACUGGUUUACACCAAGUACCACGUCAACCAGGCGGCAAGAGCCAGUAUCAAGGUGGUUCAGGAGGAACUCAACAGGAAAGGCAUGACUCCACAAGGCCGUGAGAGAAAAAAGAGGGUAUGUCAGAAGCUGUUGCAUGAGGAGACGACAACAGUCCUACGGCUCAGCAUCUACAUGGGUGUGCUGGCUAUUCUCAAGGAGUAUAUCAUGGUUUUCCAGCUGUCUCCCAGGGCUCUGAGGGAGAUGGUCCUCGAGGAUCAUAUGCUGCUGCCCUCCAAGGAGGUCUAUGUGGGACAGGAGGCUGACACGUUCAGGAGCCAGAAUCCCAAUCAUGCUCUAAGUACCCUGCAUUACCUGCAUGACUUUUUUUCACUCUGUGAGACUUAAAAUAAUGGUCAGUUUUUGGUGUUUUGUGUCAGCUGUUGGUGCCAUUCCUAGCAGACGUCAGGAAAGCCUACAUCACCACUGCAGUGUACCUCCAGAAGAAGCUCCCCUUGGCUAGUCCGACUCUGACAGCCCUGUCUGCUCUGGACCCUCUUCUGAGAGGCCACUCACAGGCAACCAUCCAGUUGAAGAGACUGAGUGGUAUGCUGAGGCACCUCUUGCCAGCAGACCAGGACAUCCAGAGAGAACUUGUGCGGUUCAAUGUUGACCUGACCGUCCCCAGUUUCAAGGAGGGAGAGAGCAUCGUGGAGUGGUGGGGUCAUGUCUUUGACAAGCCAGAUAAGUACCCGUCCCUGAGUGCGAUGGUUAAAUGUUGCCUCUCCAUCUUUCACGGACCAAGAGUUGAGUCUGCUUUUAGUUUGAUGAAUGAUGUAAUAGACCAAAGGAGUGGCAACAUGAAUGUACCAACAUUUGACGCCAUCCAGACGGUCAAGUACACCCUGCAGUCCAGGGGGAAGACAGCCAUGCAGCUCUUCAGAAGGGAGGAUGUGAAGUUCGGGGAGGUGGACAGAACACUGCAAGAACAUCAACUCUGCAGCAGCCACAUACAAACGCCAGCAGAAGAUGAAUCAGAAAGAAAAGCAGCAGCAGCAGAGCAAGUAUGGCUCCCAAGCAUCUGGCAGUGCUCAGGAGGCCAAGAAACAGACUGCUGAAGUAGAGAAAAGGGCAAGGAUGAGACAUGUGGCAAAACAGCGAAAGCGGGCCAUGAAGACACUGGUGGUCCAGGCAAAGAAAAAAAAAAGAUUUUUUUAUGAUCUGUAAUGUAAAUUUUCUUUGCCAA
Long non-coding RNA from Esox lucius (northern pike), 2755 nucleotides. The record is from Ensembl. NCBI's taxonomy places the organism in Eukaryota, Metazoa, Chordata, Actinopteri, Esociformes, Esocidae.